CAGUCUAGGUUAGCUCCAGAACCUUCUCCGCUUCUACGGCCCCGUUCAUAGACUGUGCCGAUCGUCCUUCGUUGCAAAUAUGGGCACGGACGCGGCUCGGAUUUUAGCCCAGAGUCUCAAAGCCCACGAGCGGGAAGGCGUUGCAACUUCCGGGUCAGCGAAGAAGGCGAGGAUAGAAGAGACAGAUCCGGUCGUAUUUCGCCUUGAUCGUCCAGAGCCCGCGCUUAGGCACAUCUUCGGCCGCGAGUGCUUCCCGGUGUGUGUCAUUGUGCGGGAAAAUCUGACCUCAGAAAGAAGGUCAUGCCCACCGUCACUGUGAGGGGGAACCUGACCUCAGAAAGAAGGUCAUGCCCGCCGUCAUUGUAAGGCAGUGGGAACCAUGGCGCGGAAAAGAUGGCGUCUAUGUGUACUUUGAAGAUAAUGCUGGAGUAAUUGCCGAAAAGGGG
This 446-nucleotide long non-coding RNA is filed under the name Elaeis guineensis (African oil palm). RNAcentral's name for it is "long non-coding RNA (EGUI_LNC047889)". Lineage: Eukaryota; Viridiplantae; Streptophyta; Magnoliopsida; Arecales; Arecaceae. The record is from RNAcentral.